RNAcentral lists this ribosomal RNA (119 nucleotides) under Pteropus alecto (black flying fox). Lineage: Eukaryota; Metazoa; Chordata; Mammalia; Chiroptera; Pteropodidae. The record is from RNAcentral.
GUCUACAGCCAUGCCACCCUGAACACGCCCAAUCUCGUCCGGUUUUGGAAGCUAAGCAGGGUCAGGCCUAGUUAGUACUUGCAUGGGAGACCACUUAGGAAAACAAGGUGCCGUAGGCG